UAGUUCAGUGGUAGAGCACAUGCUUAGCAUGCAUGAGGUCCUGGGUUCAAUCCCCAU
This 57-nucleotide transfer RNA is filed under the name Camelus bactrianus (Bactrian camel). It matches the Rfam family "tRNA", at positions 8 to 63 of the family's 71-position model. Rfam says of the family: Transfer RNA (tRNA) molecules are approximately 80 nucleotides in length. Their secondary structure includes four short double-helical elements and three loops (D, anti-codon, and T loops). Lineage: Eukaryota; Metazoa; Chordata; Mammalia; Artiodactyla; Camelidae. The record is from Rfam by way of RNAcentral. RNAcentral also lists the same sequence under 2 other names.